GGCCAGUCCCAUGAGAACAUGUAGACAGGUUCUACCGGACGGCCGUGUUGUGACAGCCUGCACAGCAUUUCCGAGCCCACGGAGGAGCAGGCAGCAGCAGCAACAAGCCAGACCUGUCCCAGGGUCUGUGCAUGAGAGCUCGCCAAGGUCCCCGUCUUCACUGGGUAUUUUAUCAUCUGUAAGAAUGACCCAUCCAGAUGCAAACCUGCAGGACAGCCUGACCCAGUGGGAGUCCUGCUGCUCCAACCAGAUCCGAGAUCCUGCCAGGGGCAAAGUGCUAAGAGUUCAAGGGACUCUGUCAAAUGCCAUUCUUCAGUGCCCUGCAGCCUGUCUCCCCCUCUCCAUCUCCUGCUGACCGCUACCCACCCACACGCAUAUUUCUCAUCUUCAA
Molecule: long non-coding RNA, 391 nt
Organism: Myotis myotis
Lineage: Eukaryota; Metazoa; Chordata; Mammalia; Chiroptera; Vespertilionidae
Exons: 3
Source: RefSeq, a predicted model, not a curated record